UACGUAGGGAGCAAGCGUUGUCCGGAAUUACUGGGUGUAAAGGGAGCGCAGGCGGGAUGGCAAGUUGGGUGUUAAAUCUACCGGCUCAACUGGUAGUCGCACUCAAAACUGCUAUUCUUGAGUGAAGUAGAGGCAGGCGGAAUUCCUAGUGUAGCGGUGAAAUGCGUAGAUAUUAGGAGGAACACCAGUGGCGAAGGCGGCCUGCUGGGCUUUUACUGACACUGAGGCUCGAAAGUGUGGGGAGCAAACAGG
Molecule: ribosomal RNA, 252 nt
Filed under: uncultured bacterium
Lineage: Bacteria
Description: partial 16S ribosomal RNA
Rfam family: Bacterial small subunit ribosomal RNA
Source: RNAcentral